AGCCGUGGCCCAUUCGUCAUCCACCCUUCCAUCCUUGUCAUCCCCUUUCCCUGUUCGGCACAGGGCAAGGCAUGGCCAUCGGCCAGCUCCCUCCCUUCCCGAAGCUCCUCCACUCCGUGCGAUUGCCGUCGUGGAGGGUCGCCCCGUUUUCCCGGCCAGCGACGUAGCCAAGUCGUCCACGCUCUUCCUUCCGAGCUCGCCACCUGUCUCACUCCCGUUUACGUCUCGCUCUCCUCUCCUUCUCCUCCCUGGGUUCGCCAUGGAUGGUGUUUGAAACAACUCGCGCUCGCCGGCCCGAUUCGCGAGUUUCCCUCCAUGGAUCCCAAAUCCACUUCACCCGAAGCUUGUCUACCUUCCUAGCUUCCUCCUCGACCCCUCCUUCGCGAGCCUCAUCGACCAAGUCGCCGGGAACCGAAGCUUUUCCGGCCGCCAGCCAUUAAAGCCGGCCGAGCUCCACUCCGCCGUCGAACUCCCACCUCCGGCCACCGUUUUCUUCGCCCCAUAGCUCAAAUCGACUCUAGGUACGAUAGAUGAACCACGUGAAGGACGUGAUAUUGGAACCGAACACGAAGACGAUGUUUGGUGGACAUAUCCAGAAGAGGCAAAGAACCAGGAGUACAUGCUUGGACCGGAAUACUCGUCAAGCAAGUGUCAUCUAACUAACACUGACUUAAUGUUAAUCCCAGGCAAGCCCCGGUGCAUGUCCUAUUAUUUUAAAUUAUGCUUCACUAUAUAUAUGUUUUAUCUAUUACUUGUGCAUUACGUAUUAGGAAUUGAUUGGAACCCUCGCUGCAUGAUCCUUAGGUUUCCCCGAAUUUUUACUAGUAUGUCUAGGUCGAUAGUGGUGCCAGGCUAAAAGAGUCCGGUAAAAGUCGGGUGACUUCGUGUCACUCGCGAGACAUAGGAAACUUUAGAAGCCGAGUAAUUGCCGGUUACUCGCGAGAUACAUUAUUAUCUUUAUACUUCAGUAUUUGUGAAAUGGAUUGUAUUGGAUAUGGAGAUGUGAGACCGGGCGGGAAUGAUGGAUAGGUAUGGCAGCAGGACAGGGUUUCUGUGUGUCUUAGUCCCGUCCGUGUCGAUUAAGGACCGGUCGUUGUGGCAGUGCUGAUCGGGGAUUGAAUUGUACUAACCGCAUGCCGGAAGUAGGAGGUAGUCGAAACCGGUAAGCCGAGUACUGCCUUGCUUCGAAAGUACAGGAACCCGCACCCAACUCCUGGGGCGAGUCGAGUAGUCGCGGAGAAUUGGGUUGCAUAUGUUUACUUUUGGUGGUCUCACGUUGAGCUCGGCUGACCAUAUGUCGUUGGGCUGGUUCCUGUAGUUCGAGGCGGGGAGGGGAAUGGUUGGCAUGUAUAGUCCGACGGGGCCAAUACGUGCCGUGUUGGUUAGGUCCACCUUGCAAGGUUAAAUCGGAUCGAUUCGCCGUGUCUCGCGGUUAUGAGGGCCUUGGUCUCUUUGUCACACCGUAGCGAAUGAGCUAGAGUUUUAGAGAUAUAAAAAUGGAUAUAAAUUCUUAAUCUUAUUUGGAUGCUCCACCUGUGUGUGUAGACAGGCAAACUUUAGUGUGAGUCUAGCUAUAUAAAAUAUGUGGCUAAAAUGUUGAAAGUAAGGAUACACUUCUAGUGCUAUUUCCGCAAAAACAAACCACCAGCCAAAUGCCUAGCAUGUCUAGAUAUGUGGGCUAAGUUAUACCCACUGGUCGGGUAAGUCUUGCUGAGUAUUAGUAUACUCAGGGUUUGUUGUUUACCCUAUUUCAGGUAUAGAAGCUAAUCAGGAUUCGCAUCAGUGGGCUCGAUGUGACGUCCUCACACGUGUUCAUAGUUAUCGUCUUGUUUUAUUGGUUCUCAAUCGAAUUUCUUUCUCUCAGGUUAUAUUCUCUUCCGCUACUGUCAUUUAUUUUAUGUAAAUUCCAAAUUUAAAGCUGUUUUGUAAAUAUUUAUGUUAUUAUCUAUUUUUGUGAAAUUAUAUUAUGCUGGUA
Long non-coding RNA from Panicum virgatum (switchgrass), 1975 nucleotides. RefSeq lists it as uncharacterized. NCBI's taxonomy places the organism in Eukaryota, Viridiplantae, Streptophyta, Magnoliopsida, Poales, Poaceae. The record is from RefSeq and is a predicted model, not a curated record. The transcript is spliced from 2 exons.